GACGAACGCUGGCGGCGUGCUUAACACAUGCAAGUCGAACGAUGAAGCCGGAGCUUGCUCUGGUGAAUUAGUGGCGAACGGGUGAGUAACACGUGAGUAACCUGCCCUUGACUCUGGGAUAACUGCGGGAAACUGUAGCUAAUACCGGAUACGACCCUCGGCGGCAUCGCCAGGGGGUGGAAAGAAUUUCGGUCAAGGAUGGACUCGCGGCCUAUCAGCUAGCUGGUGAGGUAACGGCCCACCAAGGCGACGACGGGUAGCCGGCCUGAGAGGGUGACCGGCCACACUGGGACUGAGACACGGCCCAGACUCCGACGGGAGGCAGCAGUGGAGAAUAUUGCACAAUGGGCGCAAGCCUGAUGCAGCAACGCCGCGUGAGGGAUGACGGCCUUCGGGUUGUAAACCUCUUUUAGUAGGGAAGAAGCGAAAGUGACGGUACCUGCAGAAAAAGCACCGGCUAACUACGUGCCAGCAGCCGCGGUAA
RNAcentral lists this ribosomal RNA (484 nucleotides) under uncultured bacterium. RNAcentral's name for it is "partial 16S ribosomal RNA". It matches the Rfam family "Bacterial small subunit ribosomal RNA", at positions 28 to 523 of the family's 1533-position model. The record is from RNAcentral.